Molecule: long non-coding RNA, 322 nt
Organism: Callithrix jacchus (white-tufted-ear marmoset)
Lineage: Eukaryota; Metazoa; Chordata; Mammalia; Primates; Cebidae
Source: RefSeq, a predicted model, not a curated record
CAGACGGGGUUUUACCAUGUUGGCCAGGAUGGUCUCCAUCUCUUGACAUUGUGAUCCACCUGCCUCGGCCUCCCAAAGUACUGGGAUUACAAGCACUUGCUCAACGCAUGGAUGAGAACCCUGCAGGAUCCUCGCAGAGAGUGGGAAGAGCUCUACAGAUUGAGUGUCAGGAUCAUCGGAGCUCCUAGUGCAGAGUCUACAGUCUGGCCACAAACCCUUCUUUCUAAUUAGAAGACUGGUCAGGUGGGGGUGAAGGAAGGACCUCUGGAAGACACAAGCUGUAAACUCUGAAGCAGCGACUUUAAAGUAUAAUAAAACAAUG